This is a long non-coding RNA of Eucalyptus grandis, 228 nucleotides long. RefSeq lists it as uncharacterized. The transcript has 3 exons. NCBI's taxonomy places the organism in Eukaryota, Viridiplantae, Streptophyta, Magnoliopsida, Myrtales, Myrtaceae. The record is from RefSeq and is a predicted model, not a curated record.
CUAUCAUGUCCUCACACGGACACCAAUCUCGAAGCAAACGCAAGAAUUCCGUUUGCUCAUAGGUUGGCCCUCAUUUCAAAUGCACUUUAUCAGGCUUUAGAAAAAAAUUGUGGUGGGAAUUUUGUGGAUUCGACAAACGCGAACUGCAGUGAGGAUUUGACAGCGUACAAUGAGCUAAUUGAAUUGAUCAGCGAAACAAAUGUUCUUGACCCUGUUUGCACUUUCAUU